This 1952-nucleotide long non-coding RNA is filed under the name Jatropha curcas. RNAcentral describes it as "long non-coding RNA (JCUR_LNC000332)". The record is from RNAcentral. Lineage: Eukaryota; Viridiplantae; Streptophyta; Magnoliopsida; Malpighiales; Euphorbiaceae.
UGAAUAGAAAACAUUUCAAAGAAUUGAUUCCAACCGCCAUUUUUGGCAAACUAAAUUGUAUUGCUAUCAUAUCCUUUUUCUGUUUUCUUAUCUAGUCAUUGUUGCUCUGUUCGUGGGAGAGAGAGAUAAAUUUUGCAUAGAAGGUGAAGAGCUUAACGUCUUUGCUUGGCAAAACGACUAAGAACUGAGAAAUGAGAUGGGAAAAACGAACCAACGACCGACUCCAACAGUCCAAGAGAAAGAGGACACUGAUUUUUCUUCGGUAUUUAUGUUUCCAUUUUUAAACGCCUUUGCUGUUAUUCUAUUUCGAAGACAUUUUCCAAUAAAAGAUUUGUUUUAAGGAAUAUUUUAUUUCUUAUUUUAAUAAUAAGCUUCAAUAAUCAUUCUUGUUUUAUGAAUGAUUUUUCAUUAACAAUUUUUUCAUAAAAACAAUUAUGUAAUAAUAACAUUAUACAUUUUCCUAAAAUUCAAUAACAACUCUUAAAAUUUUGAUGUUUUAUGUAUAAAAUAUUUGAUUUAACUUAUAGUUAAUAUAAUUAUUGAAAUAAUAAUUUUUAUAUUUUUCAACUAUCCAAGAAAUAUUUUUUUUGAUUCAUUGAGAUAUCCAAUAGCCUAAAAUAAAUAUUAAAUCAAUUUAAUUUUAUCAAUUAAAUUAUUUAAAAAAUAACUUUACAAUUUUAUGAGUUAAAGUAUUUAAUGAAUUGAUAACAAUUAAAAUAAUACUUCUUGUAAAAUUCAAGACCGCUAAUUUUUUAAAUUGAUAAAUAUAUAAUUAACAGUUGCUAAAACAACUAAUUGUAAAGAUUUUAAAUUGAUAAAUAUAUAAUUAACAGUUGCUAAAACAACUAAUUGUAAAGAGUAUAUUUUUUCUAUACUGCUGCGGCCAGCUAAUACUGCCGAACAAAUUCUACAUGUGUUUCUAUAAGAUUAGGACUUAACCCAGAUAAGUUGGCUCAAUUAAAACCAGCCCCACCAGGCUGUUGAACAGAAACAAGUGAAAUGCUUUCCUCCAUAAAUUCGUUGAACAGAUACAAUUAACUAUGUCGGGAACAAGUAACAGAAUGGAAAAUGUGAAUGUAAGGGGAAAAAGAAAAUGCAAGUCCGGAACAUUAUUUUGCUAAUAAAUAAAUCAACUAUAAUUUUCAUCAAUAUAAUUAUAAUUAAAAUUAUCAGCAGGAUCCUAAUUGUCAAUAUUAUCAGUAUCACAUUGACCCUUACAACCAAAUUCUAACAGACUAAAGCAAAUAUAAACAUGGCUCCAGUUAACUACCUCCUAGAUUAGUAUUAUACAUUACUAAAUUUUAUCGUUGAUUGGGGAAAGAAUAAACAAAAAGGUAUAGAAUAAUAUUUAAUGGUCUAGCACUCGAGUAACGAAUUUGAUUCAAUUAAGCAAUGCAUCAAACAUUUUGAGUGCAAAAUAUCAUAUAAUAUAAUCAGAUGAAAAUUCAAAGCAAAUGAAAAAUACCAGAUCAAGAAACAGAGAGAGAAAAUAUACCCAUCUUCGCUGAGGACACCAUGAGGAAAAUUAGGGAGAGGAGACGCUAAACUGAAGUUAUAGAGCUUGUUCCCGUCAACAAAACUGAGGUCACACACCGCAGUGACCGAGUUUAGAGAACCAACCAGAUGUAGAAUCGCUAUAGCUGUGAAUAGAAAACAUUUCAAAGAAUUGAUUCCAACCGCCAUUUUUGGCAAACUAAAUUGUAUUGCUAUCAUAUCCUUUUUCUGUUUUCUUAUCUAGUCAUUGUUGCUCUGUUCGUGGGAGAGAGAGAUAAAUUUUGCAUAGAAGGUGAAGAGCUUAACGUCUUUGCUUGGCAAAACGACUAAGAACUGAGAAAUGAGAUGGGAAAAACGAACCAACGACCGACUCCAACAGUCCAAGAGAAAGAGGACACUGAUUUUUCUUCGGUAUUUAUGUUUCCAUUUUUAAACGCCUUUGCUGUUAUUCUAUUUCG